CGUGAGUGAUGAAGGUUUUCGGAUCGUAAAGCUCUGUUGCCAAGGAAGAACGUCUUCUAGAGUAACUGCUAGGAGAGUGACGGUACUUGAGAAGAAAGCCCCGGCUAACUACGUGCCAGCAGCCGCGGUAAUACGUAGGGGGCAAGCGUUGUCCGGAAUUAUUGGGCGUAAAGCGCGCGCAGGCGGUUCUUUAAGUCUGGUGUUUAAACCCGAGGCUCAACUUCCGGUCGCACUGGAAACUGGGGGACUUGAGUGA
This 256-nucleotide ribosomal RNA is filed under the name Paenibacillus lautus. RNAcentral's name for it is "partial 16S ribosomal RNA". It matches the Rfam family "Bacterial small subunit ribosomal RNA", at positions 400 to 649 of the family's 1533-position model. Lineage: Bacteria; Bacillati; Bacillota; Bacilli; Caryophanales; Paenibacillaceae. The record is from RNAcentral.